AACGGCAGCACGGACUUCGGUCUGGUGGCGAGUGGCGAACGGGUGAGUAACAUAUCGGAACGUAUCCAAUAAUGGGGGAUAACUAAUCGAAAGGUUGGCUAAUACCGCAUACGCCCUACGGGGGAAAGCUAGGGACCUUCGGGCCUGGCGUUAAUGGAGCGGCCGAUAUCUGAUUAGCUAGUUGGUGAGGUAAAGGCUCACCAAGGCGACGAUCAGUAGUUGGUCUGAGAGGACGACCAGCCACACUGGAACUGAGACACGGUCCAGACUCCUACGGGAGGCAGCAGUGGGGAAUUUUGAACAAUGGGCGCAAGCCUGAUCCAGCCAUUCCGCGUGAGUGAAGAAGGCCUUCGGGUUGUAAAGCUCUUUCGCAAGGGAAGAAAACUUACCCUCUAACAUAGGGUGAGGUUGACGGUACCUUGAUAAGAAGCACCGGCUAACUACGUGCCAGCAGCCGCGGUAGUACGUAGGGUGCGAGCGUUAAUCGGAAUUACUGGGCGUAAAGCGUGCGCAGGCGGUUUUGUAAGUCAGAUGUGAAAUCCCCGAGCUCAACUUGGGAACUGCGUUUGAAACUCCAAAACUCGAAUAUGUCAGAGGGGGGUAGAAUUCCACGUGUAGCAGUGAAAUGCGUAGAGAUGUGGAGGAAUACCAAUGGCGAAGGCAGCCCCCUGGGAUAAUAUUGACGCUCAUGCACGAAAGCGUGGGGAGCAAACAGGAUUAGAUACCCUGGUAGUCCACGCCCUAAACGAUGUCUACUAGUUGUUGGUGGAGUAAAAUCCAUGAGUAACGCAGCCAACGCGU
This 801-nucleotide ribosomal RNA is filed under the name uncultured bacterium. RNAcentral describes it as "bacterial SSU rRNA". It matches the Rfam family "Bacterial small subunit ribosomal RNA", at positions 65 to 860 of the family's 1533-position model. The record is from RNAcentral.